Molecule: ribosomal RNA, 573 nt
Filed under: Triticum aestivum (bread wheat)
Lineage: Eukaryota; Viridiplantae; Streptophyta; Magnoliopsida; Poales; Poaceae
Description: partial small subunit ribosomal RNA
Source: RNAcentral
AUGACAGGAUCCAACUCGAGUCUACAUGGACAUCAACAUGUGGAAGAUGAUCUCCCAAAAACUCGCGCAACACUUGGUGAUGUGAUUGAGGAGAGUAUAGUUGCAGCUAUGAGAAGGAUGUUCGGUGGUCGUCUUCCUAUCGCGGGUAAUGGGGAUCAACACCAACACAGCCCCGCUGCCUCGCUGGCUGCCGACAACCGGCAACGUCAAGGAAAUGACGAUCGCCAUGUUGGUCGUGGAAGAGCGGCAGGAGUUGCUGCCCACGGCGCCCCUGCUAUUGGUGCUGAACGGAGGCGUGGCGACUUUGCUGCCCCCGUGAGGGUGGGCUGCAUGGAGGAAAAGCUCGCGGGCGAGGCCAUGACCCCCGCGGGUUUGCUGCGGAUCACCGGCGACGAGCAACACAUGAUGGUGAUGCCGUCUUCCUUGAAGAUCUCUCCGAGCAUGGUGACGAAGAUGAAGGCAUGGGGGAUUAUGAACCGUACUCCCCGCCUCGCCGCGGUGCUGCUUUUGAUCGCAAUGGUCAUCAUUAUGACCGUCAUGAUCAGGAUGACCGUGACAACCAAGCGAGAGUGA